RNAcentral lists this ribosomal RNA (740 nucleotides) under uncultured bacterium. Its description in RNAcentral is "bacterial SSU rRNA". It matches the Rfam family "Bacterial small subunit ribosomal RNA", at positions 8 to 796 of the family's 1533-position model. The record is from RNAcentral.
AGAGUUUGAUCAUGGCUCAGAACGAACGCUGGCGGCAGGCUUAACACAUGCAAGUCGAGCGCCCAGCAAUGGGAGCGGCGGACGGGUGAGUAACACGUGGGAACAUGCCUUUCGGUACGGAACAACUUCGGGAAACUGAAGCUAAUGCCGUAUGCGCCCUUACGGGGAAAGAUUUAUCGCCGAAAGAUUGGCCCGCGUCUGAUUAGCUAGUUGGUGAGGUAACGGCUCACCAAGGCUUCGAUCAGUAGCUGGUUUGAGAGAACGACCAGCCACACUGGGACUGAGACACGGCCCAGACUCCUACGGGAGGCAGCAGUGGGGAAUCUUGGACAAUGGGGGAAACCCUGAUCCAGCCAUGCCGCGUGAGUGAUGAAGGCCUUCGGGUUGUAAAACUCUUUUACCAGGGAAGAUAAUGACUGUACCUGGAGAAUAAGCCCCGGCUAACUUCGUGCCAGCAGCCGCGGUAAUACGAAGGGGGCUAGCGUUGUUCGGAAUUACUGGGCGUAAAGCGCGCGCAGGCGGUUCUUCAAGUCAGGGGUGAAAGCCCAGAGCUCAACUCUGGAAUUGCCUUUGAAACUGUAGAACUUGAGUACGAGAGAGGUGAGUGGAAUUCCCAGUGUAGAGGUGAAAUUCGUAGAUAUUGGGAAGAACACCGGUGGCGAAGGCGGCUCACUGGCUCGUUACUGACGCUCAGGCGCGACAGCGUGGGGAUCAAACAGGAUUAGAUACCCUAGUAGUCC